Phrynosoma platyrhinos (Desert horned lizard) is the source of this 71-nucleotide non-coding RNA. Lineage: Eukaryota; Metazoa; Chordata; Lepidosauria; Squamata; Phrynosomatidae. The record is from the annotation of a GenBank genome assembly.
GCCAGCAUAGUGUAAUGGUUAGGCAUUGGACUAUGACUCUGAGGACCAGGGUUUGAAUUCCUGUUCAGUCA